AAACCAACCGGGAUUGCCUUAGUAACGGCGAGUGAAGCGGCAAAAGCUCAAAUUUGAAAUCUGGUACCUUCGGUGCCCGAGUUGUAAUUUGGAGAGGGCAACUUUGGGGCCGUUCCUUGUCUAUGUUCCUUGGAACAGGACGUCAUAGAGGGUGAGAAUCCCGUGUGGCGAGG
Molecule: ribosomal RNA, 173 nt
Filed under: uncultured Saccharomyces
Lineage: Eukaryota; Fungi; Ascomycota; Saccharomycetes; Saccharomycetales; Saccharomycetaceae
Description: partial 26S ribosomal RNA
Rfam family: Eukaryotic large subunit ribosomal RNA
Source: RNAcentral